CAGCCGCCACGGUAAUACGUAGGGUGCGAGCGUUAAUCGGAAUUACUGGGCGUAAAGCGUGCGCAGGCGGUUGUGUAAGACAGGUGUGAAAUCCCCGGGCUUAACCUGGGAACUGCGCUUGUGACUGCACAGCUAGAGUAUGGCAGAGGGGGGUGGAAUUCCACGUGUAGCAGUGAAAUGCGUAGAGAUGUGGAGGAACACCGAUGGCGAAGGCAGCCCCCUGGGCCAAUACUGACGCUCAUGCACGAAAGCGUGGAGAGCAAACAGGAUUAGAUACCCGAGUAGUCCCUGUCUCUUAUAC
RNAcentral lists this ribosomal RNA (301 nucleotides) under uncultured bacterium. RNAcentral describes it as "partial 16S ribosomal RNA". It matches the Rfam family "Bacterial small subunit ribosomal RNA", at positions 509 to 807 of the family's 1533-position model. The record is from RNAcentral.